Brachybacterium muris is the source of this 97-nucleotide regulatory RNA element. It matches the Rfam family "TPP riboswitch aptamer (THI element)". From Rfam's summary of the family: Vitamin B(1) in its active form thiamin pyrophosphate (TPP) is an essential coenzyme that is synthesised by coupling of pyrimidine and thiazole moieties in bacteria. The previously detected thiamin-regulatory element, thi box was extended, resulting in a new, highly conserved RNA secondary structure, the THI element, which is widely distributed in eubacteria and also occurs in some archaea. NCBI's taxonomy places the organism in Bacteria, Bacillati, Actinomycetota, Actinomycetes, Micrococcales, Dermabacteraceae. The record is from Rfam.
GUGAAUGACGCGGGGUGCCGUGCUGGUACGGCUGAGAUCACACCCGUUGAACCUGAUCUAGUUCGUACUAGCGAAGGGAACGUCGCCGAUGUCGGCA